RNAcentral lists this ribosomal RNA (506 nucleotides) under uncultured bacterium. RNAcentral's name for it is "partial 16S ribosomal RNA". It matches the Rfam family "Bacterial small subunit ribosomal RNA", at positions 29 to 523 of the family's 1533-position model. The record is from RNAcentral.
AGUGAACGCUGGCGGUAGGCCUAACACAUGCAAGUCGAACGGCAGCACAGGAGAGCUUGCUCUCUGGGUGGCGAGUGGCGGACGGGUGAGGAAUACAUCGGAAUCUACUCUGUCGUGGGGGAUAACGUAGGGAAACUUACGCUAAUACCGCAUACGACCUACGGGUGAAAGCAGGGGACCUUCGGGCCUUGCGCGAUUGAAUGAGCCGAUGUCGGAUUAGCUAGUUGGCGGGGUAAAGGCCCACCAAGGCGACGAUCCGUAGCUGGUCUGAGAUGAUGAUCAGCCACACUGGAACUGAGACGCGGUCCAGACUCCUACCGGAGGCAGCAGUGGGGAAUAGUGGAAAAUGGGCGGAAGCCUGAUCCAGCCAUACCGCGUGGGUGAAGAAGGCCUUCGGGUUGUAAAGCCCUUUUGUUGGGAAAGAAAUCCAGCUGGCUAAUACCCGGUUGGGAUGACGGUACCCAAAGAAUAAGCACCGGCUAACUUCGUGCCAGCCGCCGCCGUAA